Non-coding RNA from Drosophila virilis, 288 nucleotides. Lineage: Eukaryota; Metazoa; Arthropoda; Insecta; Diptera; Drosophilidae. The record is from RefSeq and is a predicted model, not a curated record.
UCAAUAAAAAUCAAAAAAAUAUCCUCUGUGAAUCUUAAUACAAUACAUCGCUAGCUAGUAAAAUAGUCAUCUUAUAUUUUCACAUGGCCAUCCUAAGAGGUAGAGUUGGAACGAGCUAUCUUAUCAAUAAAUACUCCCAGGCCCGUAUCUCCCAAAUUUAUUUGAAAACCUAAGCCCGUCUGAACAUAUUAAAAAUUAGGAGCUGCCCAAUUUGAAAAGUCCUUAACUUGCAAUGUACCAAAAUAAUUAAAUUUUUGAUGGAAACAUUAAAGAGAAUUAACGGAUUAA